AUUGAACGCUGGCGGCAGGCCUAACACAUGCAAGUCGAACGGUAACAGGAAACAGCUUGCUGUUUCGCUGACGAGUGGCGGACGGGUGAGUAAUGUCUGGGAAACUGCCUGAUGGAGGGGGAUAACUACUGGAAACGGUAGCUAAUACCGCAUAACGUCGCAAGACCAAAGAGGGGGACCUUCGGGCCUCUUGCCAUCUGAUGUGCCCAGAUGGGAUUAGCUAGUAGGUGGGGUAACGGCUCACCUAGGCGACGAUCCCUAGCUGGUCUGAGAGGAUGACCAGCCACACUGGAACUGAGACACGGUCCAGACUCCUACGGGAGGCAGCAGUGGGGAAUAUUGCACAAUGGGCGCAAGCCUGAUGCAGCCAUGCCGCGUGUAUGAAGAAGGCCUUCGGGUUGUAAAGUACUUUCAGCGGGGAGGAAGGGAGUAAAGUUAAUACCUUUGCUAAUUGACGUUACCCGCAGAAGAAGCACCGGCUAACUCCGUG
This 490-nucleotide ribosomal RNA is filed under the name uncultured bacterium. RNAcentral's name for it is "partial 16S ribosomal RNA". It matches the Rfam family "Bacterial small subunit ribosomal RNA", at positions 30 to 507 of the family's 1533-position model. The record is from RNAcentral.